RNAcentral lists this ribosomal RNA (1339 nucleotides) under metagenome. RNAcentral's name for it is "bacterial LSU rRNA". It matches the Rfam family "Bacterial large subunit ribosomal RNA", at positions 1597 to 2925 of the family's 2925-position model. The record is from RNAcentral.
AUACCCUGCUUCCAGGAAAAGCCUCUAAGCUUCAGUCAUAGAGUGACCGUACCGCAAACCGACACAGGUGGGCUGGUAGAGAAUACCAAGGCGCUUGAGAGAACUCAGGAGAAGGAACUCGGCAAAUUGAUACCGCAACUUCGGGAGAAGGUAUGCCCCGUUAGCUUGUAGGAGUACAUCCGAAGGGCGAAGGGGCCGCAGAGAAUCGGUGGCUGCGACUGUUUAUUAAAAACACAGCACUGUGCAAACACGAAAGUGGACGUAUACGGUGUGACGCCUGCCCGGUGCCGGAAGGUUAAGUGAUGGGGUGCAAGCUCUUGAUCGAAGCCCCGGUAAACGGCGGCCGUAACAAUAACGGUCCUAAGGUAGCGAAAUUCCUUGUCGGGUAAGUUCCGACCUGCACGAAUGGCGUAACGAUGGCCACACUGUCUCCUCCUGAGACUCAGCGAAGUUGAAAUGUUUGUGAAGAUGCAAUCUACCCGCGGCUAGACGGAAAGACCCCAUGAACCUUUACUGUAGCUUUGCAUUGGACUUUGACGGGAUUUGUGUAGGAUAGGUGGGAGGCUAUGAAACCAGGACGCUAGUUCGGGUGGAGCCAACCUUGAAAUACCACCCUGGUGUCGUCGAGGUUCUAACCCAGGUCUGUGAAUCCAGAUCGGGGACCGCGCAUGGUGGGCAGUUUGACUGGGGCGGUCUCCUCCUAAAGCGUAACGGAGGAGUACGAAGGUCACCUAGGUACGGUCGGACAUCGUACUGAUAGUGCAAUGGCAAAAGGUGGCUUGACUGCGAGACCCACAAGUCGAGCAGGUGCGAAAGCAGGUCAUAGUGAUCCGGUGGUUCUGUAUGGAAGGGCCAUCGUUCAACGGAUAAAAGGUACUCUGGGGAUAACAGGCUGAUUCCGCCCAAGAGUUCACAUCGACGGCGGAGUUUGGCACCUCGAUGUCGGCUCAUCACAUCCUGGGGCUGUAGCCGGUCCCAAGGGUAUGGCUGUUCGCCAUUUAAAGUGGUACGUGAGCUGGGUUUAAAACGUCGUGAGACAGUUUGGUUCCUAUCUGCCGUGGGCGCUGGAAGUUUGAGAGGGCUUGCUCCUAGUACGAGAGGACCGGAGUGAACGCACCCCUGGUGUACCGGUUGUGACGCCAGUCGCAUCGCCGGGUAGCUAUGUGCGGAAGAGAUAACCGCUGAAAGCAUCUAAGCGGGAAACUCGCCUCAAGAUGAGACUUCCCCGGGGCCUCGAGCCCCCUGAAGGGUCGUUGAAGACCACAACGUUGAUAGGUCGGGUGUGGAGGCGUGGCAACACGUUAAGCUAACCGAAACUAAUUGCCCGUGUGGCUUGAUC